Molecule: ribosomal RNA, 429 nt
Filed under: uncultured Actinobacillus sp.
Lineage: Bacteria; Pseudomonadati; Pseudomonadota; Gammaproteobacteria; Pasteurellales; Pasteurellaceae
Description: bacterial SSU rRNA
Rfam family: Bacterial small subunit ribosomal RNA
Source: RNAcentral
UGGGGAAUAUUGCACAAUGGGGGGAACCCUGAUGCAGCCAUGCCGCGUGAAUGAAGAAGGCCUUCGGGUUGUAAAGUUCUUUCGGUGAUGAGGAAGGUGUUUGUUUUAAUAGAACAAGCAAUUGACGUUAGUCACAGAAGAAGCACCGGCUAACUCCGUGCCAGCAGCCGCGGUAAUACGGAGGGUGCGAGCGUUAAUCGGAAUGACUGGGCGUAAAGGGCACGCAGGCGGUGACUUAAGUGAGAUGUGAAAGCCCCGAGCUUAACUUGGGAAUUGCAUUUCAUACUGGGUCGCUAGAGUAUUUUAGGGAGGGGUAGAAUUCCACGUGUAGCGGUGAAAUGCGUAGAGAUGUGGAGGAAUACCGAAGGCGAAGGCAGCCCCUUGGGAAUAUACUGACGCUCAUGUGCGAAAGCGUGGGGAGCAAACAGG